This 67-nucleotide transfer RNA is filed under the name Murina ussuriensis (Ussurian tube-nosed bat). RNAcentral describes it as "tRNA-Lys". Lineage: Eukaryota; Metazoa; Chordata; Mammalia; Chiroptera; Vespertilionidae. The record is from RNAcentral.
CAUUAAGAAGCUAAACAGCACUAACCUUUUAAGUUAGAGAUUAGGAAUCUUAAUUUCCUCUUAAUGA